Small nucleolar RNA from Juglans microcarpa x Juglans regia, 106 nucleotides. NCBI's taxonomy places the organism in Eukaryota, Viridiplantae, Streptophyta, Magnoliopsida, Fagales, Juglandaceae. The record is from RefSeq and is a predicted model, not a curated record.
AAUUCAUGUUAAGGACAGCGUCAAAUCAAAUCUUUAUAUCCUUCACAUGCUUCAUAGCAUGACUCGAAAUCAUUUUGCUUGAAUUGACCAAUCUCACUCUUGAGUU